UUUCCCUCAGGAUAGCUGGCACUCGCUUGAGCGAGUCUCAUCUGGUAAAGCGAAUGAUUAGAGGCCUUGGGGCCGAAACGACCUCAACCUAUUCUCAAACUUUAAAUGGGUGAGAUCUCUGGCUUGCUUGAACGUUGAAGCCACGAGAUUUUAUUUUGAUUUGGAUCAGAGUGCCAAGUGGGCCAAUUUUGGUAAGCAGAACUGGCGCUGUGGGA
RNAcentral lists this ribosomal RNA (215 nucleotides) under Brasema sp. D1351. RNAcentral's name for it is "partial 28S ribosomal RNA". It matches the Rfam family "Eukaryotic large subunit ribosomal RNA", at positions 967 to 1163 of the family's 3401-position model. The record is from RNAcentral. Lineage: Eukaryota; Metazoa; Arthropoda; Insecta; Hymenoptera; Eupelmidae.